RNAcentral lists this ribosomal RNA (334 nucleotides) under uncultured Lachnospiraceae bacterium. Its description in RNAcentral is "partial 16S ribosomal RNA". Lineage: Bacteria; Bacillati; Bacillota; Clostridia; Lachnospirales; Lachnospiraceae. The record is from RNAcentral.
GGAGUAUGGACCGUGUCUCAGUUCCAUUGUGGCCGAUCACUCUCUCAAGUCGGCUACUGAUCGUUGCUUUGGUAGGCCGUUACCCUGCCAACUGGCUAAUCAGACGCGGGUCCAUCUUGUACCACCGGAGUUUUUCACACUGUACCAUGCAGUACUGUGCGCUUAUGCGGUAUUAGCAGUCAUUUCUAACUGUUAUCCCCCUGUACAAGGCAGGUUACCCACGCGUUACUCACCCGUCCGCCACUAAGUCAAAAAGCAAGCUUUCUGACUCCGUUCGACUUGCAUGUGUUAGGCACGCCGCCAGCGUUCGUCCUCGAGCCAUGAUCAAACUACU